Long non-coding RNA from Macaca mulatta (Rhesus monkey), 2202 nucleotides. The record is from Ensembl. NCBI's taxonomy places the organism in Eukaryota, Metazoa, Chordata, Mammalia, Primates, Cercopithecidae.
CAGCAGACUAACUGCAGGGCACUUCCUCCUAGCGGGAAGCCGAGUCUGGGCUGUCAACUGUGAAGGAGUACAGAAAGGUCAGGCAGCAAAGGGAUUCUAAAGGCCUGGAAUAAGCGAUUGCACAUUCUUUCUGGUGAUUUUUCUUCUAGUCCACCUCCCACCCCAAGCCCACAGCCUGCCUCAGCCCAACUGCAAUCUCAACUACUCCCUCACCUCCUUCCAAAGAGAAAGAUGUGAAAAAGCAAAAUCCGUCAGUCUGAUCUCACCUUCCCUUCCUCCAUUUAAAGGAGGGUUGGGGGUUGGGGAGAGCAUGCAACAAGGAAAUAGCUCUGGAAUCCAGAACAUCUGGCUUCUAUUCAGACCCAAUCACCAACCUUGGGAGCAUAUUGAAAACAUUUGGCUGUCUCAACAGUCUAAAAGAAGCUAUUUAUUUCAGACUCAACAACCAGCCCAACCAUAUGCUUCCAUUUGGAAACAAUUGGAGCUUGGGUCUCAACUUGUCCAUGACACCAGCGGACCUGUUGACUGACCAUGUGCCCCUGAACCAGCUCACGCCUCAGCUAGACAGUUUCAGAGUCUCCUACGAGGUAACCAAUCAAGCGUUCUGGAAGGACUUUUAGUGUCACGAAAGUGUCGUUGGAGUCCACUAUGACUUUCAGCUAAGUGGAAAAAGCAAAAUAAGAAAGUAUUUCUCCAUCUUAAUUUAACUAGAUGCUGGCUCCUCUGGGAGGCCUUUUCGGAAUGUUCCUCUUCCCCUGCAGUGCCCUCCCAGUCUGUGUUAGAUGCCACUCCUAUGUCCUCCGUGGUGCUUUUCACUUUCCUCCAAGGCAGCAUUCAGUGGGUAUUAUAAUUGUGUACACAUUUAUCUACCACUGUUUCUAAUUUGUGAAACAGGUAUUCUCUCUUUUACUGCUAAGUCCAUGGUACCUGCUGUAAUGUCUUUAACAUGAUAAGUUUUCAGUAAUGAAUGAACUAGGUAAAAAAUGUAUCUGUAAAGACAGAGUCAUAAUAGGACAUAGAAAAAUGAAAAGUUCCAUACAAUGCUGAUAUUAAGUGAUUUUGUUUUCUUUUUGUGAUUUGAAAUAUUAUUUAUGCUGUUCCAAAUAAAAAUAAGAUACACUUCUAAAAAAUUUUUUAAAUUAAACUUUUAUUUUAAGUUCAGGGGUACAUGUGCAGAUUUGUUACAUAGGUAAACUUGUGUCAUGGGGGUUUGUUGUACAGAUUAUUUCAUCACCCAGGUACUCAUUAGUUAUUUUUCCUGAUCCCUCCACCCUCUACCCUCUUAUAGGCCCCAGUGUGUUGUUCUCCUCUGUGUGUCCAUGUGGUCAUGUGUUCUCAUCAUUAGCUCCCAUUUAUAAGUGAGAACAUGUGGUAUUUGGUUUUCUGUUCCUGUGUUAGUUUGCUAAGGAUUGUAGCCUCCAGCUCUAUCCAUAUUCCCACAAAAGACAUGAUCUCAUUCUUUUUAAUGGCUGCAAAGUAUUCCAUGGUGUGUAUGUACCACGUGUUCUUUAUCCAGUCUACCAUUGAUGGGCAUUUAGGUUGAUUCCAUGUAUUUGCUAUUGUGAAUAGUGCUUCAGUGAACAUACGUGUGCAUGUGUCUGUAUUGUAGAAUGAUUUAUAUUCCUCUGAGUAUAUACCCAUUAAUGGGAUUGUUAAGUUGUAUGGUAUUUAUCUUUUUAGGUCUUUGAGGAAUUACCACACCAUCUUCCACAUGGUUGAACUAAUUUACAGUCCCACCAACAGUAUAUAAGCAUUACUUUUCCUCAGCAACCUCACCAGAAUCUGGUUUUUUUUUGUUUUUUUUUUUACUUUAAUAAUAGCCAUUCUGACUGGCAUGAGAUGGUAUCUCACUGUGGUUUUGAUUUACACUUCUCUAAUGGUCAGUGAUGUGGAUCUUUUUUUCAUAUUAUUGUUGACCAUAUGUAUGGCUUCUUUUGAAAAGUGUCUGAUCGUGUUCUUCGUCUACUGUUUAGUGGGGUUGUUUGCAUUUUUCUUGUAUAUUUGUUUUAAGUUCCUUAAAGAUGCUAGAUAUUAGAUCUUUGUCAGAUGCAGUUUGCAAAAAUUUUCUCCCAUUCUGCAGGUUGUCUGUUCACUCUGUUGAUAGUUUCAUUUGCUGUGCAGAAGCUCUUUAAUUUAAUUAGAUCCCAUUUGUCAAUUUUUGCUUUUGUUGCAAUUGCUUUUUGCAUCUUCAUCAUGAAAUCU